Molecule: ribosomal RNA, 483 nt
Filed under: uncultured bacterium
Lineage: Bacteria
Description: bacterial SSU rRNA
Rfam family: Bacterial small subunit ribosomal RNA
Source: RNAcentral
AUUGAACGCUGGCGGCGUGCUUAACACAUGCAAGUCGAUCGGUAACAGGUGUAGCAAUACAUGCUGACGAGAGGCGGACGGGUGAGUAAUGCUUGGGAAUCUGCCUAUUAGUGGGGACAACCCGGGAAACGUCGGGCUAAUACCGCAUACGCUCUACGGAGGAAAGCCGGGACCGCAAGGCCUGGCGCUAAUAGAUGAGCCCAAGUCGGAUUAGCUAGUUGGUAGGGAACGGCCUACCAAGGCGACAAUCCGUAGCUGGUCUGAGAGGACGACCAGCCACACCGGAACUGAGACACGGUCCGGACUCCUACGGGAGGCAGCAGUGGGGAAUAUUGGACAAUGGGGCAACCCUGAUCCAGCGACGCCGCGUGGGUGAAGAAGGCCUGCGGGUUGUAAAGCCCUUUCGGUAGGGGAAGAAAAGUCUCGACCUAAUACGUCGGGACCUUGACGUAACCCACUAAAGAAGCACCGGCUAACUCUGUG